Molecule: RNA transcript, 1394 nt
Organism: Malania oleifera
Lineage: Eukaryota; Viridiplantae; Streptophyta; Magnoliopsida; Santalales; Ximeniaceae
Gene name: (+)-neomenthol dehydrogenase-like
Exons: 6
Source: RefSeq, a predicted model, not a curated record
AUCAAACAUGAAAAUAUGAAUUUUUGGAUGUUUUUCUUUUCUUUUCCUAAUAUUUUUCAAGACGCAGAGGAAAAAAGAAGCGCUUAAAGAUUUGACAUAAUUUCUUUUAACGUGCGAAGCAGAAGUCCACAAGGCUACGAUGAAAGCUUGAGAAGCAGCGUCGCUGAUGCGUUUUAAAGUUUCUUAAAGCUCUUGGCCUCGAAAGGAAGAGACAUGCAAUCUAUCUCGACACAAACUCUUCAACCAUGGCAGAAGCAUCUCCCUCCGUUGCAUUAGACAGGUAUGCGCUUGUUACAGGAGCAAAUAAAGGUAUUGGAUUGGAGAUAUGCAGGCAGUUGGCUUCUAAUGGAAUUGUGGUGGUGUUGACUGCUAGAGAUGAGAAGAGAGGCCUUGAAGCUGUUCAAAAACUUAGAGAUUCAGGCUUCUCUAAUUAUGUGCUUUUUCAUCAGCUUGAUGUGGCAGACCCAAUUAGUAUUGCUUCCCUUGCAGACUUCAUCAAGACAAAAUUUGGAAAGCUUGAUAUCUUGGUGAACAAUGCUGCAAUUGGUGGAGCCAUAAUGGAUGCUGAUACUUUAAGAGCAUGGGUUGUUAAUGGGAGCAGGGCAGGUAUGCAAAUGACCCAGACUUACGAGAUGGCGGAAGAAUGCCUAAAAACGAACUACUACGGUGCAAGAAGAAUGGUUGAAGCAUUCAUUCCCCUCCUCCAGUUAUCCAAAUCAGCACGGAUUGUUAACGUGACCUCCGGCGCAGGGAUGUUAAAGAACAUAGAGAAUGAAUGGGCUAAACGGGUGUUAACUGAUGUUGAGGGCCUCACAGAAGAAAGAGUGGAGGAGGUGUUGAAUGAGUUUCUAAAGGAUUUCAAGGAUGGGUCGUUAGAAUCCAAAGGCUGGCCUGGUGUUUUCUCUGCCUAUUCAGUUGCUAAAGCAGCCAUGAAUGGCCACACGAGGAUUCUGGCCAAGAAAUACUCAACCUUUCGCAUCAAUUGUGUGUGUCCCGGCUAUGUCAAAACUGAUAUAAACUACAACACUGGCUUCUUAACUGUUGAAGAUGGCGCUGACAGUGCUGUGAGGUUAGCAUUGUUGCCAGAUGAUGGGCCUUCUGGCCUCUUCUUUUCUCGUGGGGAAGUGUCAACCUUCUGAUCAAAGAGGGUGAAUUAUAAAAUCCCUUAUGCUUAUGCCAUAGUGCGUGUAGUGAAAUAAUUUCUUAAAAUAAAAAUGCUCGAAUCAGGAUGCUGUAUGUAAAACAAUUGGCUCGUGAAUCUUAUUUGUAAUGCCAUUUUAUGGUGUGCACAAUGUAAUCUAAUAUUGCUCAAAAAUCAUAUAUGUAAGUCUCAGGCUGGCAAAAAUAUUGAAGCUUUUAUAAAAUGCUUGAAUCAGGCUUCAUUAGCAGCUCAA